AUUGAACGCUGGCGGCAGGCUUAACACAUGCAAGUCGAGCGGGGUGAUGGUGCUUGCACUAUCACUUAGCGGCGGACGGGUGAGUAAUGCUUAGGAAUCUGCCUAUUAGUGGGGGACAACAUCUCGAAAGGGAUGCUAAUACCGCAUACGUCCUACGGGAGAAAGCAGGGGAUCACUUGUGACCUUGCGCUAAUAGAUGAGCCUAGGUCGGAUUAGCUAGUUGGUGGGGUAAGGACCUACCAAGGCGACGGUCUGUAGCGGGUCUGAGAGGAUGAACCGCCACACUGGGACGGAGACACGGCCCAGACUCCUACGGGAGGCAGCAGUGGGGAAUAUUGGUCAAUGGGGGGAACCCUGAUCCAGCCAUGCAGCGUGUGUGAAGAAGGCCUUAUGGUUGUAAAGCACUUUAAGCGAGGAGGAGGCUCUUUUGGUUAAUACCCAAGAUGAGUGGACGUUACUCGCAGAAUAAGCACCGGCUAACUCUGUGCCAGCAGCCGCCGUAA
This 503-nucleotide ribosomal RNA is filed under the name uncultured bacterium. RNAcentral describes it as "partial 16S ribosomal RNA". It matches the Rfam family "Bacterial small subunit ribosomal RNA", at positions 30 to 523 of the family's 1533-position model. The record is from RNAcentral.